AAGCUCCGGGCUUAAUUCGGAGAUGUCGUUCAAUACUGCGGGGCUUGAGACAAGCAGAGGAAGGUGGAAUUCCCGCUGUAGUGGUGAAAUGCGUAGAUAUCGGGAGGAACACCCGUGGCGAAGGCGGCCUUCUGGGCUGUUCCUGACGCUGAAGGCGAAAGCUAGGGGAGCGAACGGGAUUAGAUACCCCGGUAGUCCUAGCUGUAAACGAUGGAUGCUGGGUCUGGGGGGUGUAAAUUCCCUCUGUGCCGAAGCAAACGCGUUAAGCAUCCCGCCUGGGGACUACGGCCGCAAGGCUAAAACUCAAACGAAUUGACGGGGGCCCGCACAAGCAGCGGAGCGUGUGGUUUAAUUCGAUGCUACACGAAGAACCUUACCUGGGUUUGACAUGCACGUGGUAGGGAACCGAAAGGGGACCGACCUUCGGGAGCGUGCACAGGUGCUGCAUGGCUGUCGUCAGCUCGUGCCGUGAGGUGUCGGGUUAAGUCCCGUAACGAGCGCAACCCUUGCCCUUAGUUACAAGUGUCUAAGGGGACUGCCCGGGACAACUGGGAGCCCGGUGGGGAUGACGUCAAGUCAGCAUGGCCUUUAUAUCCAGGGCUACACACACGCUACAAUGGCCGGUACAAUAGGUUGCGAAGUCGUGAGGCGGAGCCAAUCCUCAAAGCCGGUCUCAGUUCGAAUUGCAGUCUGCAACUCGACUGCAUGAAGCUGGAGUUGCUAGUAAUCGCAGGUCAGCUAUCCUGCGCGUGAAUACGUUCCCGGGCAUUGACACACCGCCCGUCACGUCAUGGAAGCUGGCAACGCCUGAAGCC
RNAcentral lists this ribosomal RNA (815 nucleotides) under uncultured organism. Its description in RNAcentral is "bacterial SSU rRNA". It matches the Rfam family "Bacterial small subunit ribosomal RNA", at positions 598 to 1428 of the family's 1533-position model. The record is from RNAcentral.